AGUAACGGCGAGUGAAGCGGCAACAGCUCAAAUUUGAAAUCUGGCUUCGGCCCGAGUUGUAAUUUGUAGAGGAUGCUUUUGGCGCGGCCCCUUCUGAGUUCCCUGGAACGGGACGCCAUAGAGUGUGAGAGCCCCGUAUAGUUGGAUGCCAAGCCUUUGUAAAGCUCCUUCAACGAGUCGAGUUGUUUGGGA
Molecule: ribosomal RNA, 192 nt
Filed under: Rhexodenticula sp.
Lineage: Eukaryota; Fungi; Ascomycota; Sordariomycetes
Description: partial large subunit ribosomal RNA
Rfam family: Eukaryotic large subunit ribosomal RNA
Source: RNAcentral